GAAGCUAAGGAUCAUGGCACAAAGGGGGCCAUGGCUUCGGAUUUGAGACCGGGAUAUGAAUCACGGUGGUUCCAUCAAUUAUCAUGAGGCUCAUCAAGGCUGAGAAAAGGUUGGACCUGAACAGCUUAUGGUGGUGCUAAAUGCAUGACUAAGCUUAAGACAAUGAGAUCGUGGUUCAAAUUCGGCAGAGACAAGAGGGGUUUCGGUGAAAAAUUCCAUCUUUUCUAUUUUUACCAAUUAGCUGGAUGCAU
Molecule: non-coding RNA, 251 nt
Organism: Lupinus albus (white lupine)
Lineage: Eukaryota; Viridiplantae; Streptophyta; Magnoliopsida; Fabales; Fabaceae
Source: the annotation of a GenBank genome assembly